GGGUUUUACUGUCUCCCCACUCUAAUCAGUGAAACUGAUCUUCCCGUGAAGAAGCGGGAAUAUACAUAUAAGACGAGAAGACCCCAUGGAGCUUUAAACCCAACAGCACCUAUUCUUUUUAAAUCCACUUAUUCUUAUAGUAAGUGCUUGCUUGGUUUUAGGUUGGGGUGACCGCGGAGUAAAAAUGAGCCUCCACGAAAAAAGGCAUAAAAGCCUUAUCAAAGAAUCACACUUCUAUGAAUUAGUAAACUAAUUUUUGAUGAUCCGAUAUUCGAUCAACGAACCAAGUUACCCUGGGGAUAACAGCGCAAUCCACCUCAAGAGCUCCUAUCGACAAGUGGGUUUACGACCUCGAUGUUGGAUCAGGGUACCCCAGUGGUGCAGCAGCUACUAAAGGUUCGUUUGUUCAACGAUUAAAACCCU
Molecule: ribosomal RNA, 423 nt
Filed under: Boophis narinsi
Lineage: Eukaryota; Metazoa; Chordata; Amphibia; Anura; Mantellidae
Description: partial 16S ribosomal RNA
Rfam family: Bacterial large subunit ribosomal RNA
Source: RNAcentral